This 28-nucleotide non-coding RNA is filed under the name Rattus norvegicus (Norway rat). Lineage: Eukaryota; Metazoa; Chordata; Mammalia; Rodentia; Muridae. The record is from RNAcentral.
UCCAAGUACAGUUAUUGGAAUGGAAGGA